GGAUGGAUACUCAAGUCUGGUUAAGAGAACGAUCUUGAAAAUCGUCAGGCGGUAAAACGUUCGAGGGUUCGAAUCCCUCUCCAUCCU
RNAcentral lists this transfer RNA (87 nucleotides) under Parvimonas micra. RNAcentral describes it as "tRNA-Ser". It matches the Rfam family "tRNA". Rfam says of the family: Transfer RNA (tRNA) molecules are approximately 80 nucleotides in length. Lineage: Bacteria; Bacillati; Bacillota; Tissierellia; Tissierellales; Peptoniphilaceae. The record is from RNAcentral.